RNAcentral lists this ribosomal RNA (269 nucleotides) under Klebsiella pneumoniae. Its description in RNAcentral is "partial 16S ribosomal RNA". It matches the Rfam family "Bacterial small subunit ribosomal RNA", at positions 1027 to 1296 of the family's 1533-position model. Lineage: Bacteria; Pseudomonadati; Pseudomonadota; Gammaproteobacteria; Enterobacterales; Enterobacteriaceae. The record is from RNAcentral.
CUGUGAGACAGGUGCUGCAUGGCUGUCGUCAGCUCGUGUUGUGAAAUGUUGGGUUAAGUCCCGCAACGAGCGCAACCCUUAUCCUUUGUUGCCAGCGGUUAGGCCGGGAACUCAAAGGAGACUGCCAGUGAUAAACUGGAGGAAGGUGGGGAUGACGUCAAGUCAUCAUGGCCCUUACGACCAGGGCUACACACGUGCUACAAUGGCAUAUACAAAGAGAAGCGACCUCGCGAGAGCAAGCGGACCUCAUAAAGUAUGUCGUAGUCCGG